AGGCGCCCUUCACAAUGACGGCCGGUAAUAUAGUGCUGGUUCUACUGCCACAAAUAUGUUGUGCAAGCAUCGCUGUGACACUUAAGUUCGUGAGAUAUGACCAUGUCGGUGAACGCAGGAUGGCAAAUGGAAGAUGUUGUACUACGUUCUUUUCGAAGUGCAUAGUUCCAUGUGAUCCGUCGAUAAGAGUGUGUGUUUCGUCUCAAACAAUAACAGGAAUGUGUAAUAUAUAUAAAGGAGAGACGAAACAGUUCGGACGCAUGAAGACAAUCACUUUUGACAAUAACAUGGGAGCUGUACCAAACCCUCUCGUACUUCCAGUGGGCCAA
Molecule: long non-coding RNA, 329 nt
Organism: Haliotis rufescens (red abalone)
Lineage: Eukaryota; Metazoa; Mollusca; Gastropoda; Lepetellida; Haliotidae
Exons: 3
Source: RefSeq, a predicted model, not a curated record